This is an RNA transcript of Panicum virgatum (switchgrass), 1802 nucleotides long. It is a transcript of the gene named ultraviolet-B receptor UVR8-like, with no coding region annotated. The transcript has 15 exons. Lineage: Eukaryota; Viridiplantae; Streptophyta; Magnoliopsida; Poales; Poaceae. The record is from RefSeq and is a predicted model, not a curated record.
UCGCCCACGUGGGCUCGCCGUCGCCGCGAGCUCCACCUUUCCCAGUUCCCUCCCCUCCCCACUCCACCAUUCCAGCCCGAGCGCGAUGUGGCGAGCGGCGAGGCGCUGGACGCCGCCGCUGCCGCUGCGGCGGCUCUCGUCGGACGCCGCCGCCCCCAAGGCGCCGCGGCGGCGGCGGGUGGCGGCGCUGUGGGGGAACGGGGACUACGGGCGCCUGGGGCUGGGCGCGCUGGAGUCGCGGUGGAGCCCCACGGCCUGCCCCUUCUUCCUCGCCCGCGCCGCCGACCCGCCCGCCUCCCUCGCCUGCGGCGGCGCGCACACCCUCUUUCUUACCCAGAGCGGGCGUGUGUUCUCCACGGGUCUGAACGACUUUGGGCAGCUCGGGAUAGGAUCCUCUGUUACACAUACACUGGAGCCUGUCGAAGUUUCUGGAUUUCAUGAGAGAGUUGUAGAAAUUUCAGCUGGCAACCAUCAUUCUUGUGCAAUUACUGCGGAUGGUAAACUCUUUGUUUGGGGAAGAAACUCAGGUGGCCAGCUUGGCCUUGGAAAAGGGGCAGGAAAAGCAGUUUCUACCCCAACGAAGGUUGAUUGUUUGACUGACUUUAGAGUGAAAAUGGUUGCUUUGGGAUCAGAGCAUUCAGUUGCUGUUACAGACGAAGGUGAAGUCUUAAGUUGGGGAGCUGCUGGUUCCGGCAGGCUCGGACAUGGCUACCAAUCUAGCAUACUGGGAUUCUCUCUGACCUCAAGCGAAUAUACUCCAAGGUUGAUAAAAAACCUUGACGGGAUAAAGAUUGAAAAGGUAGCUGCAGGAAUGUUGCACUCUGCUUGCAUUGAUGAAAAAGGUACUUUGUUCAUAUUUGGGCAGAAGACUGAGAAGGGAUUUGGAAGAUCAAAUGAAGCAUUCAGACCGGUUAUUGUUGAAGAGAUACCGUUUUCAGAAGAAGUUGCUUGUGGAGGUUACCAUACUUGUGUUGUAACAGGUGAUAUUUUACAGGAAAUGGUGAUCUGUAUUCUUGGGGUUCAAAUGAAAAUGGCUGCCUUGGUCUGGGAGAUAUGGAUAUGGUUCGUGCUCCAGAAAUUUUGGAAAGCUCAGUAUUUGAGCUUCCUGUAUCUAAGGUCUCUUGUGGUUGGAAGCACACUGCUGUAAUUUCAGGUGGUGACAUUUACACCUGGGGUUGGGGAGGCGCUAAUGGUACUUUUUUUGAAGAGGGCCAUUCUUCUGGCGGACAACUGGGACAUGGAAACGACGUAGACUAUUUUGAACCUAUGAUGGUGCCGUUCAGCAAGAAUGCAAGAGCGGUCCAUGUAUCAUGUGGCUUCAAUCAUACCGGCGCAAUUUAUGAGUACUCCGAGGACUGACUGAUGUGCCAUCUGCAGACUGCGGAAUGACAUGUUGCAUACUAAUUAUCCAAUCAUACUGAGCACAGGUGUACAGAGGAACCGCAGAAAGAAGCUAAGGUAUUGGAUCUGCAUCAUUGUGAAGAGAAUAUAGAACAAAAUGAUAACCCCUCUUGAGCGAGGGGGGUGUAAUUUGAACAGAAUAAGAGAUAAACUGGAUGCCUUUUGUGAUGCACCAGGGUUGCAGCAGGUCAGCGUAUAGUGUUCAUUUAUUAUUUGGUGGAUAUGUAUUUUUUUUGCAGCUAAUAAGGAAUCCAUUGCCUGAUAUCUCACCAGGCUGGUGUUGUACAUGACGAGUGCUUGUCUAUGUUUGCUGUGUAUCCAUGCAAAUGUACUAAAUGGUAUCAGAAUUAGAAUAAUGUUUGUACAAUUAAAUGUGUAUAUGUCCAACCUUUAUUUCUAGA